This 313-nucleotide unclassified non-coding RNA is filed under the name plant metagenome. Its description in RNAcentral is "partial contains 5.8S ribosomal RNA, internal transcribed spacer 2, and large subunit ribosomal RNA". The stretch from base 1 to 105 matches the Rfam family "5.8S ribosomal RNA", at positions 50 to 154 of the family's 154-position model. The record is from RNAcentral.
GAAAUGCGAUAAGUAAUUUGAAUUGCAGAAUUCCGUGAAUCAUCGAAUCUUUGAACGCACAUUGCGCCCUCUGGCAUUCCGGGGGGCAUGCCUGUCCGAGCGUCAUUACGCACCCUCAAGCCCGGCUUGUGUGAUGGGCCCCGGCGUCUCGUUCGCGAGACGGGCCCGAAAGGCAGCGGCGGCGUCGACCCGAUGAGCCCGAGCGUAUGGGGACUUCUGUCACACGUUCGCGGUGCGGACCGGCGCCUGCUUUGACUUUUCUGAUUAUCCAGGUUGACCUCGGAUCAGGUAGGGAUACCCGCUGAACUUAAGC